UAGGUUUGGUGAUAAAUUCCGUGUUUCUGAAACACUUGAUUUUGAGGAAUUUCAUGCACA
This 60-nucleotide small nucleolar RNA is filed under the name Dipodomys ordii (Ord's kangaroo rat). RNAcentral describes it as "Small nucleolar RNA SNORD18 (ENSDORG00000022960.2)". Lineage: Eukaryota; Metazoa; Chordata; Mammalia; Rodentia; Heteromyidae. The record is from RNAcentral.